RNAcentral lists this ribosomal RNA (279 nucleotides) under uncultured archaeon. Its description in RNAcentral is "partial 16S ribosomal RNA". It matches the Rfam family "Archaeal small subunit ribosomal RNA", at positions 1047 to 1325 of the family's 1478-position model. The record is from RNAcentral.
GAGACCCGUGCCCACUGUUACCAGCAUGUCCUCCGGGAUGAUGGGUACUCUGUGGGGACCGCCGGUGUUAAAUCGGAGGAAGGUGCGGGCCACGGUAGGUCAGUAUGCCCCGAAUUUCCCGGGCUACACGCGGGCUACAAUGAAUGGGACAAUGGGUCCCUCCCCUGAAAAGGGCUGGUAAUCUCACAAACCCAUCCUUAGUUCGGAUCGAGGGCUGUAACUCGCCCUCGUGAAGCUGGAAUCCGUAGUAAUCGCGUUUCAAUAUAGCGCGGUGAAUAC